Molecule: ribosomal RNA, 579 nt
Filed under: uncultured bacterium
Lineage: Bacteria
Description: bacterial SSU rRNA
Rfam family: Bacterial small subunit ribosomal RNA
Source: RNAcentral
UCCUACGGGAGGCAGCAGUAAGGAAUAUUGGACAAUGGAGGCAACUCUGAUCCAGCCAUGCCGCGUGAAGGAUUAAGGCCCUAUGGGUUGUAAACUUCUUUUAGACGGGACAAAACCCCUUUACGUGUAAAGGGUCGAUGGUACUGUCAGAAUAAGCAUCGGCUAACUUCGUGCCAGCAGCCGCGGUAAUACUAAGGAUGCAAGCGUUAUCCGGAAUUAUUGGGUUUAAAGGGUGCGUAGGCGGACUAAUAAGUCAGUGGUGAAAGCCUGCAGCUUAACUGCAGAAUUGCCGUUGAUACUGUUAGUUUUGAGUACAGUUGAGGUAGGCGGAAUGUGUCAUGUAGCGGUGAAAUGCUUAGAUAUGACACAGAACACCGAUUGCGAAGGCAGCUUGCUAAGCUGUAACUGACGCUGAGGCACGAAAGCGUGGGGAGCAAACAGGAUUAGAUACCCUGGUAGUCCACGCCCUAAACGAUGAUAACUCGCUGUUGGCGAUACACUGUCAGCAGCCAAGCGAAAGCAUUAAGUUAUCCACCUGGGGCGUACGACCGCAAGGUUGAAACUCAAAGGAAUUGACGG